UGAGGAAUAUUGGGCAAUGCCCGAAAGGGUGACCCAGCAACGCCGCGUGGAGAAUGAAGGUCGUAAGAUUGUAAACUCCCGUUAGAGGGGAAGAAUAACUAAGUUUGGAGCUUAGUAUGACUGUACCCUCAGAGAAAGCCCCGGCUAACUACGUGCCAGCAGCCGCGGUAAUACGUAGGGGGCAAGCGUUGUCCGGAUUUACUGGGUGUAAAGGGCGCGCAGGCGGAAUGGAAAGUCAGUGGUGAAAUCCUACAGCUUAACUGUAGAACUGCCUUUGAUACUUUCAUUCUUGAGUUCGGGAGAGAGAGACGGAAUUCCAGGUGUAGUGGUGAAAUACGUAGAUAUCUGGAAGAACACCAGUUGCGAAGGCGGUCUCUUGGUCCGAUACUGACGCUGAGGCGCGAAAGCGUGGGGAGCAUACA
Molecule: ribosomal RNA, 422 nt
Filed under: uncultured bacterium
Lineage: Bacteria
Description: bacterial SSU rRNA
Rfam family: Bacterial small subunit ribosomal RNA
Source: RNAcentral